Molecule: non-coding RNA, 2351 nt
Organism: Elaeis guineensis (African oil palm)
Lineage: Eukaryota; Viridiplantae; Streptophyta; Magnoliopsida; Arecales; Arecaceae
Source: RefSeq, a predicted model, not a curated record
CUACCAUCUAAUCCGGAGGCCACGGCUCAUCACCCAUGGCUUCCAUCCUACGCGUCGCGCCUUUCCUCUACCCUCGCCUCGCCCGUCUCGCUCGCUUCCCCAGCGCACUGCCUUCAAGAUUCCUGACUCGAAGAGUCUUCGCUGCCUCUCGCUUCUCCUCCACCUCGCCGUCUUCGGUCUCUCCUUCUCCGCCGCCGCCGCCGGAAACCCUACCUUCCGAUUCCCGGUCCGAAGCUCCGACGAGUUCUCCGCUGCAAUGGGUCUCAAGAACAGCGUUCUGCGGCGACCUUGGGGUUGAGGACGUCGGGAGGCGCGUCCGGCUCUGCGGCUGGGUAGCCCUCCACAGGGUUCAUGGCGGCCUCACCUUCCUCAACCUCAGGGAUCCCUCUGGGAUCGUUCAGGUUACGACGCUUCCUAAUGAAUUCCCGGAUGCCUAUUCUACUGUGAACAAGCUGAGGCUUGAGUAUGUAAUCACUGUCGAAGGGAUUGUCCAGGCUCGGCCAAAAGAAUCCGUAAAUAAUAAGAUGAAGACCGGGGCUAUAGAGGUUGCUGCAGAGCAUGUUAUAGUAUUAAAUUCUGUAAAUCGUGCGUUGCCUUUUCCAGUUACUACUGCAGAUGAUGUAAAAGAUAUUAUUACCGAGGAGAUCCGUUUGAGAUACCGGUUCCUUGAUUUACGUCGGCCACAAAUGCAAUCCAACCUGAGGUUGCGGCAUAGGGUGGUCAAGCUACUUCGGCGGUAUUUGGAGGACAAACAUGAUUUUGUGGAGAUUGAGACUCCAAUACUAUCUAGAUCCACACCUGAAGGUGCCCGUGACUAUCUCGUGCCAUCACGUGUUCAGCCAGGGACAUUUUAUGCUUUACCUCAAAGUCCACAGUUGUUCAAGCAAAUGCUGAUGGUCUCUGGAUUUGAGAGAUAUUAUCAGUUAGCAAGGUGCUUCCGUGAUGAAGAUCUAAGAGCAGAUAGGCAACCUGAGUUUACACAGCUGGAUAUGGAAUUGGCUUUUACACCUUUGGAGGAGAUGCUGAAACUUAAUGAGGAUUUGAUUAGACAUCUCUUUCAAGAGAUAGCCGGUAUACAACUUCCAAAUCCUUUUCCGAGGCUUACAUAUGCUGAAGCAAUGAGUCGAUAUGGUUCAGAUAGACCAGAUCUUCGCUUUGAUUUGGAACUAAGAGAUGUUAGUGACAUUUUUUCAGGAUAUAAUUUCAAGGUUUUUGCGGAUUCAUUAGAAAAUGGAGGCAUUAUAAAAGUGUUGUGUUUGCCUUCAGGUGCCAAAAAGUUUUCAAACACAGCCCUCAAAAAGGGUGAUAUCUAUAAUGAAGCAAUUAAAGCUGGAGCAAAGGGCUUGCCAUUUCUCAAAGUUUUGGAUAAUGGUGAGCUUGAAGGAAUCCCAGCUUUAACAUCAAGUCUAGAACUUGAAGAUAGGGCACAGUUGCUGAAACGUUGCUCUGCAAAGGCAGGUGAUCUUAUAUUGUUCGCAGUAGGUCACCAUACAAUGGUUAACAAGACACUCAACAGACUCAGAUUAUUUGCUGCCCAUGAAAUGGGGUUAAUUGACUGUUUCUCGCAUUCGAUUCUGUGGAUAAUCGACUUUCCAAUGUUUGAGUGGAAUGAGUCAGAACAGAGACAUGAGGUGUUUCUUGAUUGAUUGUUUCAACAGGCCCUUCACCACCCUUUCACUGCACCAAAUCCUGAAGACAUGGAUGAUCUUUCUUCAGCUCGUGCUUUGGCUUAUGACAUGGUCUAUAAUGGAGUUGAGAUUGGUGGGGGAAGUUUGAGAAUUUUUAAACGCGAAAUACAAGAAAAAGUAUUGGAAAUUGUCGGUAUCUCCCCUGAGCAGGCUGAAGAAAAAUUUGGUUAUCUACUGGAGUGUCUUGACAUGGGGGCUCCUCCACAUGGUGGAAUUGCCUAUGGCUUGGAUCGGCUGGUGAUGCUUGUGGCUGGUGCAAAUUCUAUUCGAGAUGUUAUAGCUUUUCCAAAGACCACAACUGCCCAAUGUGCACUUACUAAUGCGCCAUCAAAGGUUGACCCACAGCAACUGAAGGACCUGUCUUUUCCUACCUCAUAGAACAUGAUAUUAUACCGUUUUCACCAGUUUGUUUUAUUCUUGUUCUGUAAUAAUUGUUAUAACCAGAUGCCAUCAUACGAGAGGUCAAAGUCCCUUCUUCUUUUUUUUUUUUUUCCUUCUUUUUUUGCACAUUCUCAUAUUUUUAAGAGAACCAUUUUCAUGCUGUGUAGAAGGGCUUUUGUUGUGAGAAUGGCAGCGACAGAACCAUUCCUUUCUAUUUAUUAAGAUAUUAAUUUGUGCUUCUUUACUGAUGCUAGAUUGCGAACCUGAUAUCUUCAUGUUUAA